Corticium candelabrum is the source of this 1093-nucleotide long non-coding RNA. RefSeq lists it as uncharacterized. NCBI's taxonomy places the organism in Eukaryota, Metazoa, Porifera, Homoscleromorpha, Homosclerophorida, Plakinidae. The record is from RefSeq and is a predicted model, not a curated record. The transcript has 6 exons.
CAAUGACAUGAGGACGUGGAUAUUGCAUCGAAUUGUUCUUACAGGGGCCGUUGAAAGGUACGCGUACAAUUUAUAGAUCUAACAAUAUACAAUUUACUAAUACAAUACAUGUACUGUAUCCAUGAGAGAACAGAAAGAUGAACUAUUUGAAACGACCAUGAUGAGGAUCCACAUUCUAGUGACUGCACUAUAGGGACAGGGACAGAAACAACAAUUCAUCAAAAAUCAGAUACGAAAAGUAAACGUUGUUCACCAGACGAACACCUUACAGCUAAUGACUCUUAAACGAUAUCAACACUGCAAUAAAAUAUAUUUAGAUACACACAGUAUCUAUUUGGACAUAUGAUUAUCACUAAUCUGCUUAUGCAAGGUAUCGUUCAAGCCAGGAAAAGCACCCUUUUCUAUUGAAGGCACAACAGAUCCCAACAGAUCAAGCAGCUAUUCUCCGAAGAAAGUCAAAAAAAGGAAACUGAUGAAACGUGAUUAUGAUAUUAGAUCGUUUGCAAAACGGAAAAGACAACAGAAAAAAACAAUUCGAGUGAUGAAUCAGACAUUGCUGAAUCAACUGAAGUUAUCGAAUGUACUGUUGAUGAAAUAGAUGGGACAAUACCCGGAAAAGAACGGGUAAGUUACAGUAUAUUAGAGCAUUGCUGAAAGCAUGCUCUGUCCGGAGCUCCCGAAAAUCUGGAGGAUCGCUCAGUUUUCACGACAUGGAAAAAGAAAUCCAAGAAGCAGAACACCUCCUGGUAGGAGCCAAGUUUCCAAAGGCUGUUCCAACUAGAGUUAAAAAUUUUCUGAAAACUUGGUAUUUUCAAAACGAAUUGCAGUCGUGCAAAAGCUAUGAAAUCGAUGACUUUAUGCAGUGGACGGGAGAAGCACGGGACUGGAGAUACGAGAACAAAUCCAUGCACGCUAUUUAUCACAUACUGACUUAUCAUCAUCGCCGAAGAUGGGUUACUGACAAAAUUAAUAAAAAAUAGAAUUGAACAAAAAAUAAGUAUUUUAUGCUUAGACUACGGUUUCAGAUAAGUGAAACGUGCUGUUCUAAAAGUUUUAAAUUAAUUUUUGUUUUAUCUCUAGACAAGAAACAAUA